Molecule: long non-coding RNA, 1886 nt
Filed under: Ananas comosus (pineapple)
Lineage: Eukaryota; Viridiplantae; Streptophyta; Magnoliopsida; Poales; Bromeliaceae
Description: long non-coding RNA (ACOM_LNC001427)
Source: RNAcentral
AUACGAAACCGAAUCGAUUCGAAUAAGACGAUUUGAUUUGGUUUUCUUAAUUUUUAUACAAUAUUUUUUUAAAAAAAUUAUCGAAUUUGGUUUGUGAUUUUGAUUUGGUUUUCAGAUGUUAGCAAAUCGAAUUCGAAGGAAACUUGUAUUUUAUGUGUCUAUGUAGUUAUUAUGCGCAUGCAUUUUGAUCCAUAAAUUUUAAAUUUUUUGUAAUUGCAAUCAGUCUCGCACUCUAAUUUAGAUGACCAAAUAUUGACGAGUGUAACAGUAUUAUAAUUAAUAAUGCAACAAUAAUUAAAAUAUCACAUAACUGUCGCAUUAGCGACAUAUCUGCACUUGUUCAAAUAAAUUGGACCGUCGACUUAAUUAUGAUAAUUUAUAAAAUCCAAUGUAGAAAAAAUAAUAAAUUAAAAUUUGUGGACCAAACUGUCACAUGCUUCAUACUUUGAGGAUCAAAAGUGUAAUUGCAUUGUCAUUUUGCUUCAUUAUUAGAGUUUACUAACUAAUUUUUUUUUUUUUAUAAAAAAAGUGAACUAAACUGAAUUAUGGAGAUAAAUCAAACCGAUCCGAACUAAAAUAAUUUGUUUUAAUUUUUUGGAGUUUUUUUCACCAAAUAAACAAAAGGAGAGCUAAAUUGAAUUACACCGACGAAUCGAACCGAACCAAACUAAAAUAAUUUGACUCAAACUUUAAAUCAAACUUACACCAGUUGAAACUUUUAUUUACCUUGGGCUGUUAAUGGGCUGGACUUUUUGCGAUUUCGCAAGGCCGGGCUCAAUUCAGAAAGAUCCGGCCCGGCCCGAACUUUUUUUUUAAAAAAAGGUGCUCUAAUUUUUUUUAAAAAUAUACUUUUCCUGUGAAUCAAACACACCGGAAAAAAAAAUUUCAGCCUAAAACAAAAAGGAUCUAAGUUGCCUGAACCUUUCUCACAGUUAAAAGUCCCAAAAUAUUUAUUAUUAUUUAUGAUCAAGUCCUUUUGUUUAAAAAUAAAUAUUUUUAAGCCCCAUGAAAAGCCCUGGAUCUUUUAUUUCGGGCCCGAUACGAAAUCAGGCCCGAUCAAUCACGGCCCAAUAGUACAACAUCAGCAAUGAGUUUGCUAAAAAAAAGAAAAACUUUCAUACUAGAGCCAAUUAUAUAUGGAUCGGUUAAACUCGAUCCUUAUUCUUUUGCAUAACAAUUAUCAUGCACCAUAGUAAACUCAAUUUAAUGGGCAUUAUGCGCAAAUCGGUGUAGCGAAAAGCAUAAGCUUUUUUUCCAUUCGGCUUGUUAAUCCUGGAGCCUCAGUCAUAUCCAGCUCCCCUUCUUUCGUCGCGCCACGGGCCAACUCCCACUCGAACCCAUACACGAGAUUAGCCAACGCGAGCUCGACUGUGGACAUUGCAAAUUGCAUGCCAGGGCAACCUCUCCGACCCGCCCCGAAUGGAAUGAACUGGAAAUCAUUACCUCUGAAGUCGAUCGAGCUAUUUAUAAACCUCUCAGGACGAAAUUCGUCGGGUGCGUCCCAAUAUUUUGGGUCUCUACUAAUAGCCCAAUAAUUGAUGGUAACUCUCGUGUUUUUCGGAAUGAAGUAGUCUUUUAUGUAGCAAUCUUUCGUUGAUUCUUUCUGAACCAGUAGUGGAGCUGGAGGGUGCAAUCGUAAGGUUUCUUUGAUCACGGCUUUUAAGUAGGUCAUCGUGUUCAGAUUCUUCUCGCUGAUUGUUUCGCUUUUCGUAGUAACCUCUCUCACCUCAUCCUGUAGCUUUUUCAUGAUGUUGGGAUUUCGAACAAGCUCUGCCAUGGCCCAUUCUAGGACUACGUAUGAUGUAUCUGUUCCUGCAGUAAACAUAUCCUGCGAAAAUUUAUGAAACAUAGAAGAAGAGAGGAUUAGACUUUGUAGAUUCAAAUAA